CAGUAGCCGCGGUAAUACAGAGGGUGCGAGCGUUAAUCGGAUUUACUGGGCGUAAAGCGUGCGUAGGCGGUUAUAUAAGACAGAUGUGAAAUCCCCGGGCUCAACCUGGGAACUGCAUUUGUGACUGUAUAGCUAGAGUACGGCAGAGGGGGAUGGAAUUCCGCGUGUAGCAGUGAAAUGCGUAGAUAUGCGGAGGAACACCGAUGGCGAAGGCAAUCCCCUGGGCCUGUACUGACGCUCAUGCACGAAAGCGUGGGGAGCAAACAGGAUUAGAUACCCCUGUAGUCCCUGUCUCUUAUAC
This 301-nucleotide ribosomal RNA is filed under the name uncultured bacterium. RNAcentral's name for it is "partial 16S ribosomal RNA". It matches the Rfam family "Bacterial small subunit ribosomal RNA", at positions 509 to 807 of the family's 1533-position model. The record is from RNAcentral.